CGAAGGAUGCAAGCGUUAUCCGGAUUCAUUGGGUUUAAAGGGAGCGUAGGUGGACUGAUAAGUCAGUGGUGAAAUCUCUGGGCUUAACCCAGAAAUUGCCAUUGAUACUGUUGGUCUUGAGUACAGUUGCUGUGGGCGGAAUAUGACAUGUAGUGGUGAAAUACAUAGAGAUGUCAUAGAACACCGAUUGCGAAGGCAGCUCACAAAGCUGUAACUGACACUGAGGCUCGAAAGUGCGGGGAUCAAACAGGAUUAGAUACCCUGGUAGUCCGCACUGUAAACGAUGAUUACUCGCUGCUAGAUGGCAACAUUUAGUGGCUUAGCGAAAGCGAUAAGUAAUCCACCUGGGGAGUACGCCGGCAACGGUG
This 368-nucleotide ribosomal RNA is filed under the name uncultured organism. Its description in RNAcentral is "bacterial SSU rRNA". It matches the Rfam family "Bacterial small subunit ribosomal RNA", at positions 526 to 896 of the family's 1533-position model. The record is from RNAcentral.